AACUGGAAGUGAUACAACUGUUGAUACAACCUCACCUGGCAGCCACACACCAGAAGAUAAAGAUGUUGGCUGCUUUUCAGCUACAGGAAAAUGGAUAAGUAUAGUAUUGCUGACAAUUUUGAGCUGUUUAACAUUUCAAUACAUACCUCAACCAAAGCUAAAGAAAAGAAGUCAAAAAAAAUCUUGUACAGUAGGAACCUGGUGCAGAGCCACACACUGUUAUCUUAUGCUGCUUGCAUCACUUGUUGGCAUUUCAAUACAUGCAAUACCACUUGCUUUUUUUAUUUAUGAAUGGAAGGAAUGUCCAUAUGAAAAUGGCACAGGCAUCUGCUUUACAGUGGAACCAUUCAAAAAAAGUAAUAAAUCUGAACUAGCUAAAAUUGUAUUGAGAGAUACAGACACACUUGAUACAGAUGUCAAAAGAGGAUUGAUGCAAGAGUUUAUAGAUUUUAGUAAGGUAGCACUAUUAUUUUCAACAACAGCUAAUGUUGUGUCUCAUAUUCUCUUUAUAAUCUCAUUAUGGGC
Molecule: long non-coding RNA, 525 nt
Organism: Amphimedon queenslandica
Lineage: Eukaryota; Metazoa; Porifera; Demospongiae; Haplosclerida; Niphatidae
Exons: 3
Source: RefSeq, a predicted model, not a curated record